AUGUGGAAGAUUGAUUAAUUGGUAACCGUGACUAUACCUGUAAAGUUUGCAGGAUUUAGUUGUGACUGUACUAUGGAAAUUUCUCUACUGGUACUGAAAACAGGCCGUGUGGCAAUUUUACUGAUAUUAAUUCAUGCUCAACAAGGAAGCUAAGAAAAGACUUGACAAAUAUUACCAAAGCCUUUGGCAAGUUGACAAGUUCGAACAAUUGGUUUUUGCCACCAUACAUUUUGAUGAGGACAUUACUUGUUUGGGCUAGCUUAUUUUCUUGUGGAUCAUUUGCUAUUGUUUUAUUUUAUUGGGCUUGUAUUAUUGGGUUUGGCCCAAGCCCACUUACUGUUUGGGUCUAUUGGUUUCUCUAUUUAUAAGACUUGAUAAUUUAAUUUCAAGGAGACGACGAAGAAUUAGAUUGGAUGUUGUUUUGGCUUGAAGCCGUUUCCUCCUUCCCUCCUCUCUUUCCCCUAGUCUCUUCCCCGAUUUCUUCCCCCUUUUUUGCUGCCCUCUUCGCCUUGUUGCUAGAAUUUUUGUUCUUGUGCUACACAGCUAUUUAAGUUCUCUGCAAGAAUCAUCCCACUUCUCCUGCAUCAAUUUUUAGUAUCAGAGUCUAACCUGGUUUUCAAUCUCUUUCAUUGAAAAUUGGAGUCAAAAUUGACAUGGAAGUGAUACAAAGCCAUAUUGUUCAACACCAUAUAUCCCUGACCAGAAGUUGAUCCAUCCAUCCUCUCCAACCCGCACACAAACAUCUGGCCAAACGCAUCGUGACACCGUCCGACUACAUACUGCAACUGCCAAUACCCACUACCAUACAAUCAUCCCUGACAGUUAACUCCAUAAACCUUCAGCCUACUCUCCAAUUUUAAAUUCACAAACCCACCGCACCAAAGCUGCCUGCACAAGACAAACUCCCCACCUAACAGAGCCAAAAUCUGGAUUUCGUCAUAAAAAUGGUUGCACUUCUAUCUGUUUAUCCAACUCAUCCAACGGUAAUUGCUAACAGUUUCUUCUCUGCAUCUGUUUCAGCAACCGCUUGGUAAAACAAACCUCCACAGCAACUAUAACCUACAACAAUCCCCAGCAUCAUCUUCAACACACACCAUACCUGUUAUUGCGAAACUCACAAAACUUCUUCAUUAACACACACCGCCUUUCCACCUCUCCUAGCGCCGACGACCAUCUCUUGUCUCCUUACACAACGCAAUACCCACUAACUGCCAACCACCACCACUUACGGUGCCUCUCUUUUAUGUUUAAUUGCAGCAGCCAACAAAUCCAACCAAAAAAAGAGGAGGAAAACUGCCCACUGCCACAUCACAAUCGGCCCAAUACAUACAAUACCCAUACUUAACAACAAGCCCAAUACACAAAAUAACCAAAAGAAAUUCAUACCACCCAGCAAUCGGCCCAACUCUAAACCUCAACCCCCACCGUUGCUUGUGACCCCACUCCAUCGAGUCGCACCCCUCUGCGACUUUCUCUCCUUGCCAUUAGCUACCUUCCAUAAUCAAUGUCGCCGCAAAUUUCCAACAAAUCAUCCAACUUCGUCGCUAUUCUUCAAUUCCAAUCGUCCCCUUCUCCACCCCGAUCCAAAUCACAAAUCGACCCAUCUCCUUCUUUAAUUUCAAGCCACUGCGAUGCCAGCAAAUUUCGAAAUUCCGGUUGACCCAUAACCAAUCUGCAGCCGUUCUCUCUCCCCAGUGGCUAGAGUCAAUGUUGACAACCAAAGUUGGGUUGGUGAUUUGUUUGUAGAUUUGAAACUCUGAAUUG
This 1764-nucleotide long non-coding RNA is filed under the name Olea europaea (common olive). RNAcentral's name for it is "long non-coding RNA (OEUR_LNC003466)". The record is from RNAcentral. Lineage: Eukaryota; Viridiplantae; Streptophyta; Magnoliopsida; Lamiales; Oleaceae.